Molecule: non-coding RNA, 109 nt
Organism: Acanthosepion pharaonis
Lineage: Eukaryota; Metazoa; Mollusca; Cephalopoda; Sepiida; Sepiidae
Source: the annotation of a GenBank genome assembly
CAGCCAAAUCACACUGAAACACCAAUUCCAAUAUGAUCACAGAAGUUAAGCAAUGUUGAGCCUGGUCAGUACCUAGAUUGGUGACCACUUGGGAAUAUGAGGUGCUGAA